Molecule: small nuclear RNA, 194 nt
Organism: Diceros bicornis minor
Lineage: Eukaryota; Metazoa; Chordata; Mammalia; Perissodactyla; Rhinocerotidae
Product: U2 spliceosomal RNA
Exons: 1
Source: RefSeq, a predicted model, not a curated record
AUCGCUUCUUGGCCUUUUGGCUAAGAUCAAGUGUACUAUCUGUUCUUAUCAGACCUGGGAAAUAUUUUCCUAUGGAAACAAUGUUUGAAUUUCUUUUGCAUUUUGCAAAAGCUUUAUUUACCCAAUUGGAACUUUCUAACAAAGCAAUUUUGACUUCUGGAUUUGCAGAACAGAUAAUCACCUGGGAAAGCAAA